UGGGUCGUUUCAAGGGGAUUUGGGGCGGUUUGACGUUUUUGGGGGGCUGUCAACGAUUUUGGGGUGAUUUGGGGUCUUUUGGGGCACAAAGGGGGGUUUUGGGGGGUUUUGGGGCGUAGCAGCUGUCACCGGGCCAAUACCUGGUGAUUUUGGGGUGAUUUUGGGGGGAUUUGGGGCUUUUCGAGGCCUCGGCAGCCAUUUUGUGGUGGCCGGGAGCCAUUUUGGGCGGCGGGGGCCACGAUUUGGGGCAGAAUCGGGGCUUUUAGGGGCUGCAUUUUGGGGCAGAAUCAGGGCUUUUAAGGACUGCAUUUUGGGGCACAAUCGGGGCUUUCGGGGACUGUAUUUUGGGGCAGAAUCAGGGCUUUUAAGGACUGGGUUUUGGGGCAGAAUUGGGGCUUUUGGGGACCAUGUUUUGGGGCGGAAUUGGGGCUUUUAGGGGCCAAGUUUUGGGGUGGAAUAGGGGCUUUUGGGGACCAUGAUUUAGGGCAGAAUUGGGACUUUUGGGGGCCAUGUUUUGGGGCGGAAUCGGGACUGUGUUUUGGGGUGGAAUCAGGGCUUUUGGGGCUUCAUUUUGGGGUAGAACCGGGGUUUUCAGGGACCGCGUUUCGGGGUGGAAUCGGGGCUUUUGGGGACCGUGUUUUGGGGUGGAAUUGGGAGCACUUUUUGGGGUGGAAUUGGGGCUUUGGGGGAUUGUGUUUUGGGGUGGAAUCGGGACCACAUUUUGGGGUGGAAUCAGGGUUUUAGGGGCUGAGUUUUGGGGCAGAAUCGGGACCAUGUUGUGGGGUGGAAUUGGGGCUUUUGGGGACCGUGAUUUGGGGCAGAAUCGGGACUGCAUUUUGGGGUGGAAUUGGGGCUUUGGGGGACUGUGUUUUGGGGUGGAAUCGGGACUGUGUUUUGGGGUGGAAUUGGGGCUUUCAGGGACUGCGUUUUGGGGUGGAAUUGGGAUCAUGCUUUGAGGUGGAAUCGGGACUGUAUUUUCUGGUGGAAUUGGGGCUUCGGGGGGCUGAGUUUUGGGGCGGAAUCGGGACCGUGUUUUGGGGUGGAAUUGGGGCUUUGGGGGACUGUGUUUUGGGGUGGAAUCGGGACCACAUUUUAGGGUGGAAUCGGGGCUUUCGGGGCCGCAU
Molecule: long non-coding RNA, 1124 nt
Filed under: Anser brachyrhynchus (Pink-footed goose)
Lineage: Eukaryota; Metazoa; Chordata; Aves; Anseriformes; Anatidae
Description: lncRNA (ENSABRG00000002429.1)
Source: RNAcentral